Electrophorus electricus (electric eel) is the source of this 1267-nucleotide long non-coding RNA. The record is from Ensembl. Lineage: Eukaryota; Metazoa; Chordata; Actinopteri; Gymnotiformes; Gymnotidae.
CAGAUUUUAAAAAAUUAGUGGCGUGGGUUCACACCCAUGCAAACAUCUGUUGUCAUAUGCCCAACGGGGAAGGUGUCUCAGGGAGACCGGAUGACCACAGCCACACGCUUUGCUGGCGGUGUAAAAGUGGACAUGCGUACACAUGGAAUCAGUGCUUCCGAGGACGAGCCGUGCAAUAUUGCAAAAACCACGCCUGCAGAGGCGUUUCUUUUCCCCUUAAACCCUGCCGCACUCCUCCAAGCGACGGGAAGCCCACUUCUACGGUGUAUGCCCCAGGCUUUGCUGCACUGUUGGCAUCUUCUAAAGAAAGAUAGACACAGCAACACCUACCAGCCAAGGAAAAUUCAAACAAACGACAGUUAAAGAGAACUACAAGAAGACUUAGUAACAUAGAAAACUUCCAGAGUUGGAUUUCACUCCACAAACCAGAGGCAUCUUCCUCCUUGAACACUGGCCUCCUAUUUCCAGCAGCAGUGGUUUUCCAGGCCCCAGGGGUCGAGCAGCCAGUCGGUGCUGUUCUGCAGCUAUGCCAUAGACAGGGUUGCACCUUCAGCCUGGCCAAGUCUGUGGAGCUGCGUGAGGCCCGCGCCGUGCUGCAAGCCUGUGUGUGGGAGGGGCGGCGGUAUGAGUCGGCCCACCACCUCGACAUCCCCCUGAGCAUCCAGCGCCGCGAGCAGGAGGAGCCACGAUGAGCUCGAUCGGCACUCGCCACGUGCCCUGCUCAACCUGGUGCUGCUCAACAACCUUCGGAAAGCAGCACCUGCAACGCCGCACGCCACGUUGCUUCAAACACUUCCACUUGGUGCACGGCCCCGGUGCCGGCCUCAGGGGUGGAGGGGUGGCACCGUGGGUGUGGAUUUUAGGAGGCAUGCCUUGCUCAAUGACUCUGCCCACUGCAGGAUUUCAGGCUGUACGUCUCCAAGCAUAGCCGGGGCUUCGACAGCAAGGAUAACGCAUUCUACUCCAUGCUCAAGGCACAGCCGCGGGCCUCGGUCCAGUACAGCAAAGCACCAGUAAACCAGGUGAAUCAGCCAGCUCGUUCAGACCAUCAGAACUUACAGGCGGUUGGACUUGAAUGCAGCAUAAACGUUCAGUGUUCUAUCACUAUGAUCGAUUAAAGCACAUAUUUUGCAUUAUAAAAUUGUUGUGAGUCUUAUUCCAGUGGGUAAUUGGUGAUAAUUGAGGAAGCAUCUCAUAGUGUUCAGCCUGGCUGCUUCCUGUUAAUGCUUGUGGGAAAUUACUCAUGCCUCCUCUGCCUGAACUUAAG